UACGUAGGUUGCAAGCGUUAAUCGGAAUUACUGGGCGUAAAGCGUGCGCAGGCGGUUUGUUAAGACGGAUGUGAAAUCCCCGGGCUCAACCUGGGAACUGCAUUCGUGACUGGCAGGCUAGAGUAUGGCAGAGGGGGGUGGAAUUCCACGUGUAGCAGUGAAAUGCGUAGAGAUGUGGAGGAACACCGAUGGCGAAGGCAGCCCCCUGGGCCAAUACUGACGCUCAUGCACGAAAGCGUGGGGAGCAAACAGG
Molecule: ribosomal RNA, 253 nt
Filed under: uncultured bacterium
Lineage: Bacteria
Description: partial 16S ribosomal RNA
Rfam family: Bacterial small subunit ribosomal RNA
Source: RNAcentral